CAAUAAAUUGAGUUUGUUUUCCUGUCUCUAGAGUGAGUGGCCACACUUUCUCUCUCUAAAUCACUGUUUCUCUAUCACUCUCUCUCUCUCUUCUUCACUUCAACAAGUAGUGUAUAGUGUAGUAGUUUAUGUUACUAGUGUAUUCUUCUUCAGGUGGAAAAAGUGAAAUGACAAAAGUAACCUUGAGUUUUCUAAGUUGUGUCAAAACCAAAGGCAUGUGUAUCU
Molecule: long non-coding RNA, 225 nt
Filed under: Trifolium pratense (red clover)
Lineage: Eukaryota; Viridiplantae; Streptophyta; Magnoliopsida; Fabales; Fabaceae
Description: long non-coding RNA (TPRA_LNC012310)
Source: RNAcentral